Lolium rigidum is the source of this 2870-nucleotide long non-coding RNA. RefSeq lists it as uncharacterized. The record is from RefSeq and is a predicted model, not a curated record. The transcript has 9 exons. Lineage: Eukaryota; Viridiplantae; Streptophyta; Magnoliopsida; Poales; Poaceae.
UCCUCUAUGCCGACCACGAGCCCGACAGAUCUCAGUUGCUGGCUUGUGGGGAAAACACGGGAGGGGGCCGCUCGUCCCCAGAGUCUCCCGUCGUCUCCAUCUCCCUGGGAUGCCUCCUUCCAGGGAACUCGACCUCCACCAGCUCGCCCCCGACUCCACAGCGACCGGCAGCAGCGGCGCUCGCCCAAGCUUGUUGAGGUGGAUUAAAUAUAUUGGUUCAACCCAAUUUGCAAAGCUGGAUUUCUGUUAGGAGGAGUAGGAUGCAAUUGAGCAAGCAUACAUCCCUAAGACGCUUCAUUGUUAUUUUCGUAGCCAGGGGAAGAGACCAUGGGAAGCAAGGGGAAAGUUUGGAAGUUGGCAAGUCAUUUACCAUAGCUCUCAACCGUGGCCUGGUAAUAGUCUUCUUGUUGUCCUUUUAUUUUCCAAUGAAAACCUGCGGGGGACGAUAAUAGUGGGAGAUUGUAAGUGUGUUUUGUUUACAGGCAUUGACAUGCAUAUCUUAUUUAAACCUUGAGGCUCUAAAGUCCUAAUAUGCAUAUCUUUUUUAAACCUUGAGGCUCUAAAGCCCUACAAAGGGUGCGAAAGAUGGAGAAUCGACAGCUAAUCUGCCAUAGAUGCUGCUGUUUUCUUAGGCUCGUCACCUCCAGCACUGUCUAUAACAGAGAGUGAGGUUGCCAGAUGUGGUAGUUGAUACUAGGGAUAUAUUGGGCUUAUUGCUGCAUUCUGCAUCAUUGCUGCAGUUUGCUCUGAAGGAAUUGUAGUCAUGAGUGUACUAGAACUAGACCAUGUUCCACUAGUGACAUGGGCACUACCAAAUCGUUCUCUUAGUUGCACGGCCUGUUCACCCUCUGCUCGGGCAACCUGUGUCAAUUAAUUCUGAUUAGUUGCAAGCAAUGUUGAAGAAAGUUAGUUGUAACCUCAUAGCAAAACUCCAGCAACAAGUUUAUAGAAAUGGAUACUACAUACACAGAGAAGAUACAUGUUUUGAUUCUGAACAUUUAUACGGCUCGAGAAAACUCCUGAACUACGACGCACUGAACUCCUGUAAUUGUGAUGUUGAAUCAUAUGGGGAACCUCUAAUUGGAUAUUUGGAUGCCUAUGGUAAGUUAUAAAAUUUCAGGCAUGUUUUUCCAGUACAAGUUUACUACCACUGUAGUCUAAGCUAGUGAUGUUGGUGGCAAAGCUGCCCCUCGUAUCCUUUAGAUUUUAACUUCUUCUUUUUUCUAUGUGGCAUCUGUAGAUAUUGAGUUUGAGAACAACAGUGAAGUUGGUGUUUCCUCUAAGCUCACAAUUGCCUAAUGCAUAGUUUUGCAAUUGGAGGGUCCUACAGGGUGAUGAGCAAGUGCAUUGUGAACUGUGGAUUGCAAGGUUUCUUCAUGGAAUUUUUUGGCCAUGUGCAGAGCAUGAUUCUUGUGUGAGAUCCGCUUCGUCAUGUUUAUUCAGGUGAUUUAAUUCCCCAUCUAACUUCUGCUGGGCUGCUUCACCUCGUAUGGCCGUCCAUGGCAACUCGUCAUCGUCCUCACCUGGUUUGGCCAUCGCGCUCUCCAGACCUAGGAAAUUAUGGAGAAUACAGUGGGGCUCCCAAAGAGGAGGUUUUGCAGUAUGCUAGAGUGGUUUUGGAUUGUGUCACCGCUGAUCCUGAUGGCCGGAAGAGAGCUCUUCUCAUUUGAAGCGGUAUAGCAAACUUCAGUGAUGUGGGCUUUAAGAGAAAAGUUUGCCUGCCGUUUGGGACCAAGAGCCAAUGCGCGGGACGAGAUCCUAGAGAGGCAAGAUGCAGCAGGUAUUUUUUUCUUUGCCCUUUGUUUGCAUCAGAGUCUCAGUUAACUCACAGCUGCUCCGGCCCCUCAGGUAAAGGACUAUUUUUAUCUUUUUAUCUGUGAGGCUUUUCUCUGUUAGUGACAAUACACUUCUCUCGAUGUGGUCCACGUAAAUACUUAGGUUUUUUGCUUUUAGUUAUGCCUCGCAAGUUCUGUGUGGUUUACAUUUAGCUUUCCAAUUAUGUUCAUGCUCCUUGAUGCUCAUACUAUUAAGUGACCGUUACAAGCAUAUUAGUUACUCAACUAAUAAAGCCAAGCUAUCGCCUUGGUCGCCUCACGUCUCAUUCAUGUGAGAUAAAAUAGGAUGUCUCCGUCACAAUGUUAUUAACUUUGAGGUAGAGCAGCCUCCUGGUACAGUUUUGGUGUGCCUGAGGGACGGCGCAUAUGGAGGGUAUUUUUUGUAAUCGCCGUGGGAGAAUGGUGCCCUGUUUUUUUUUGGAAAAACUGAAAAAUAAAACCUUAAAUGCACUCUAAUAUUAAAAUUACGGAACAAAACAUAUAGCUUGAGAGACUUUCUCUGACCCGUGGAUGAUCCAUAUUGUUAUUUUUGUCUAUCCACGCGAAGUGUGAUUAAUACCUUUUCUGAGUUAAAUGGUUGUUGCAUAAUAUGGCAGAAACUGAUUACUUGCAGUAUUUGAGACUCUGAUGCAAACAAAGGUCCCUCCAUAUUUGGCCUAUUGAUACUUGACUCCUACCACAUCGUAGAGCACCCUGUUGUGCGUGUCGCUAGGUCCCCUGCCUUCUGAUAUAUUUCUGCAAGUAGUCUUUACUCUUAAGGAUCCAAGCCCAUGUUCGAUCUGAAAGAAGGCUCUCUUAUUUUCCCUAUACAAGUUAUCCGUGUAUCUAGCUUCAAUCACUCGCGAAUAAUAAUGUUUUUCUUUCUCUACCGUCUCCGACACACGUCAAUGUUUACAUAUCUCUUCCGUAGGACCUUUCCAAAAACAAUGUAUUUACUCAUGAUCAAAUGUAUGUAUGUGCACUGCCAAAGUCGAUGGACAAAUCAUCUUAUUGUAGCUUGAGCACAGUAACAUUUACUAAAUGCAUAUUACACAA